CUAGAUGGUUCGAUUAGUCUUUCGCCCCCAUGCCCAUAUUUGACGAUCGAUUUGCACGUCAGAAUUGCUGCGAGCCUCCACCAGAGUUUCCUCUGGCUUCACCCUAUACAGGCAUAGUUCACCAUCUUUCGGGUCCAAGCGGUAAGNCUCUUACUCAAAUCCAUCCGAAGACAUCAGGAUCGGUCGGUGAUGCGCCGAAGCUCUCACCUGCGUUUACUUUCAUUUCGCGUGCGGGUUUGGCACCCAGACACUCGCCCCAAUGCUUGACUCCUUGGUCCGUGUUUCAAGACGGGUCGCCGGUGACCAUUACGCCAGCAUCCUUGCCGAAGCGCGGUCCUCGGCCCCCCCGGAGGCAUGACGAAGCGGGCUAUAACACUCCCUAAGGAGCCACGUUCCCGCGACCUUUGUCCCCCCGGGAGAGCCGAUGCUGGCCUNNNNNCCGCNGAGCACCGGUGAGGAACACCGGAUGAUCCUNNNNNNGCAAGUCUGGUCACAGGCGCUUCCCUUUCAACAAUUUCACGUACUUUUUAACCCUCUUUUCAAAGUGCUUUUCAUCUUUCGAUCACUCUACUUGUGCGCUAUCGGUCUCUGGCCGGUAUUUAGCUUUAGAAGAAAUUUACCUCCCAUUUUGAGCAGCAUUCCCAAACUACUCGACUCGUCGAAGGANCUUCGCAAAGGCUAGGCGGGCGGCCGUACGGGGCUCUCACCCUCUAUGGCGUCCUGUUCCAAGGAACUCGGACNGCGCCGCGCCAGAGGCAUCCUCUCCAAAUUACAACUCGGCCCGAGGCCAGAUNNCAAAUUUGAGCUGUUGCGCUUCACUCGCCGUUACUGGGGCAAUCCCUGUUGGUUUCUUUUCCUCCGCUUAUUGAU
RNAcentral lists this ribosomal RNA (870 nucleotides) under Ophiostoma piliferum. Its description in RNAcentral is "partial large subunit ribosomal RNA". The record is from RNAcentral. Lineage: Eukaryota; Fungi; Ascomycota; Sordariomycetes; Ophiostomatales; Ophiostomataceae.